This 665-nucleotide ribosomal RNA is filed under the name uncultured Lachnospiraceae bacterium. RNAcentral describes it as "bacterial SSU rRNA". It matches the Rfam family "Bacterial small subunit ribosomal RNA", at positions 70 to 750 of the family's 1533-position model. Lineage: Bacteria; Bacillati; Bacillota; Clostridia; Lachnospirales; Lachnospiraceae. The record is from RNAcentral.
CUUAGAGAGCUUGCUUUUUAAGCUUAGUGGCGAACGGGUGAGUAACGCGUGAGUAACCUGCCCUAGAGUGGGGGACAACAGUUGGAAACGACUGCUAAUACCGCAUAAGCCCACGGUACCGCAUGGUACUGAGGGAAAAGGAUUUAUUCGCUUUAGGAUGGACUCGCGUCCAAUUAGCUAGUUGGUGAGGUAACGGCCCACCAAGGCGACGAUUGGUAGCCGGACUGAGAGGUUGAACGGCCACAUUGGGACUGAGACACGGCCCAGACUCCUACGGGAGGCAGCAGUGGGGGAUAUUGCACAAUGGGGGAAACCCUGAUGCAGCGACGCCGCGUGGAGGAAGAAGGUUUUCGGAUUGUAAACUCCUGUCGUUAGGGACGAUAAUGACGGUACCUAACAAGAAAGCACCGGCUAACUACGUGCCAGCAGCCGCGGUAAAACGUAGGGUGCAAGCGUUGUCCGGAAUUACUGGGUGUAAAGGGAGCGCAGGCGGGAAGACAAGUUGGAAGUGAAAACCAUGGGCUCAACCCAUGAAUUGCUUUCAAAACUGUUUUUCUUGAGUAGUGCAGAGGUAGAUGGAAUUCCCGGUGUAGCGGUGGAAUGCGUAGAUAUCGGGAGGAACACCAGUGGCGAAGGCGGUCUACUGGGCACCAACUGACGCUGAG